UUCCGGUUGAUCCUGCCGGACCCUACUGCUAUCGGGGUGGGACUAAGACAUGCGUGUCGCCCAAGCCUCGUGGCAUACGGCUCAGUAACACGUGGCUAACCUACCCUCGAGACAGGGACAACCCCGGGAAACUGGGGCUAAUCCCAGAUAGAUGAGAACCCCUGGAAUGGGUUUUCGUCCAAAAGGCGUGUCGCUCAAGGAUGGGGCCGCGUCCGAUCAGGCUGUUGGUGAGGCAAUGGCUCACCAAACCUAUAACCGGUACGGGCCGUGGGAGCGGGAGCCCGGAGAUGGGAACUGAGACAAGGUCCCAGGCCCUACGGGGCGCAGCAGUUACGAAAACUUGUCAAUGCACGAAAGUGUGAACGGGCUACCCCGAGUGCCGUCCGCUGAGGAUGGCUUUUCUCUGCUGUAAGAAGGCGGAGGAAUAAGGCGAGGGCAAGUCUGGUGUCAGCCGCCGCGGUAAUACCAGCUCGCCGAGUGGUAGGGAUGAUUAUUGGGCCUAAAGCGUCCGUAGCCGGCCUAUCAAGUCUCUUGUUAAAUCCAACGAUUCAAUCGCUGGACUGCAGGAGAUACUGUUAGGCUAGGGGGCGGGAGAAGCCGACGGUAUUUUCGGGGUAGGGGUAAAAUCCUAUAAUCCCGGGAAGACCACCAGUGGCGUAGGCGGUCGGCUAGCACGCGCUCGACGGUGAGGGACGAAAGCUGGGGGAGCGAACCGGAUUAGAUACCCGGGUAGUCUCAGCUGUAAACGAUGCUGGCUAGGUGUUGAAGCGGCUACGAGCCGCUUCAGUGCCGCAGGGAAGCCAUUAAGCCAGCCGCCUGGGGAGUACGGCCGCAAGGCUGAAACUUAAAGGAAUUGGCGGGGGAGCACCACAAGGGGUGAAGCUUGCGGUUUAAUUGGAUUCAACGCCGGA
This 911-nucleotide ribosomal RNA is filed under the name uncultured archaeon. Its description in RNAcentral is "bacterial SSU rRNA". It matches the Rfam family "Archaeal small subunit ribosomal RNA", at positions 1 to 922 of the family's 1478-position model. The record is from RNAcentral.